AACGCGAAGAACCUUACCAGCCCUUGACAUCCCGGUCGCGGUUUCCAGAGAUGGAUUCCUUCAGUUCGGCUGGACCGGUGACAGGUGCUGCAUGGCUGUCGUCAGCUCGUGUCGUGAGAUGUUGGGUUAAGUCCCGCAACGAGCGCAACCCUCGCCCUUAGUUGCCAGCAUUAAGUUGGGCACUCUAAGGGGACUGCCGGUGAUAAGCCGAGAGGAAGGUGGGGAUGACGUCAAGUCCUCAUGGCCCUUACGGGCUGGGCUACACACGUGCUACAAUGGUGGUGACAGUGGGCAGCGAGACCGCGAGGUCGAGCUAAUCUCCAAAAGCCAUCUCAGUUCGGAUUGCACUCUGCAACUCGAGUGCAUGAAGUUGGAAUCGCUAGUAAUCGCGGAUCAGCAUGCCG
This 404-nucleotide ribosomal RNA is filed under the name uncultured bacterium. RNAcentral describes it as "bacterial SSU rRNA". It matches the Rfam family "Bacterial small subunit ribosomal RNA", at positions 958 to 1359 of the family's 1533-position model. The record is from RNAcentral.